This is a long non-coding RNA of Lineus longissimus, 361 nucleotides long. RefSeq lists it as uncharacterized. Lineage: Eukaryota; Metazoa; Nemertea; Pilidiophora; Heteronemertea; Lineidae. The record is from RefSeq and is a predicted model, not a curated record. The transcript is spliced from 3 exons.
ACCAUGAAAUUUUCAUUGCACUUUAUGCAUGAUAAUUUCAGGGUUUGGGGGGUCUGAAGUUAGGGAGGUGAUUUUUGACGGCUUUUAACCUGUGAGUCAGCUUUUUCACCACGACGGGUUGAAUGGAGCCUCAAAACCACAUGCUGUCACUGGAACGAUACGGAUUGCCUUGAGCACGAUCGAGGACUCAAAUACGAUCAGAAGCUCCUGAGAUCUGUCCAGAAUGCCAGCCACAUGCCCCCAACUUGCUCUGAUCAAUGCAGCAGCAUUCGGUUAUUAUUGGAUAGUCAGAUUCCUUCUCUGGACUGGAGUAGACGUGAAUUGCAAAGAUGAUCAAGAGAACAUGUUUACUCCAAUCUUC